CAGUAGCCACGGUAAUACAGAGGGUGCGAGCGUUAAUCGGAUUUACUGGGCGUAAAGCGUGCGUAGGCGGCUAAUUGAGUCGGAUGUGAAAUCCCCGAGCUUAACUUGGGAAUUGCAUUCGAUACUGGUUAGCUAGAGUGUGGGAGAGGAUGGUAGAAUUCCAGGUGUAGCGGUGAAAUGCGUAGAGAUCUGGAGGAAUACCGAUGGCGAAGGCAGCCAUCUGGCCUAACACUGACGCUGAGGUACGAAAGCAUGGGGAGCAAACAGGAUUAGAGACCCGAGUAGUCCCUGUCUCUUAUAC
RNAcentral lists this ribosomal RNA (301 nucleotides) under uncultured bacterium. Its description in RNAcentral is "partial 16S ribosomal RNA". It matches the Rfam family "Bacterial small subunit ribosomal RNA", at positions 509 to 807 of the family's 1533-position model. The record is from RNAcentral.